This 459-nucleotide ribosomal RNA is filed under the name uncultured bacterium. RNAcentral describes it as "bacterial SSU rRNA". It matches the Rfam family "Bacterial small subunit ribosomal RNA", at positions 339 to 794 of the family's 1533-position model. The record is from RNAcentral.
UUACGGGAGGCAGCAGUAAGGAAUAUUGGUCAAUGGGCGCAAGCCUGAACCAGCCAUGCCGCGUGCAGGAUGACGGCCCUAUGGGUUGUAAACUGCUUUUAUACGGGAAAAAACCCUCGAUCGUGAAUCGGGGCUGAUGGUACCGUAAGAAUAAGGAUCGGCUAACUCCGUGCCAGCAGCCGCGGUAAUACGGAGGAUCCAAGCGUUAUCCGGAUUUAUUGGGUUUAAAGGGUGCGCAGGCGGAAUAAUAAGUCAGUGGUGAAAUCCUGCAGCUUAACUGCAGAACUGCCAUUGAUACUGUUAUUCUUGAGUAUAUUUGAAGUGGGCGGAAUGUGUCAUGUAGCGGUGAAAUGCUUAGAUAUGACACAGAACACCAAUUGCGAAGGCAGCUCACUAAACUAUAACUGACGCUCAUGCACGAAAGCGUGGGGAUCAAACAGGAUUAGAUACCCCGGUAGA